Molecule: ribosomal RNA, 302 nt
Filed under: uncultured bacterium
Lineage: Bacteria
Description: partial 16S ribosomal RNA
Rfam family: Bacterial small subunit ribosomal RNA
Source: RNAcentral
GCAGUAGCCGCGGUAAUACAGAGGGUGCAAGCGUUAAUCGGAAUUACUGGGCGUAAAGCGCGCGUAGGUGGUUCGCCAAGUUGGAUGUGAAAUCCCCGGGCUCAACCUGGGAACUGCAUCCAAAACUGCCGGGCUUGAGUAUGGGAGAGGUGAGUGGAAUUUCCGGUGUAGCGGUGAAAUGCGUAGAUAUCGGAAGGAACACCUGUGGCGAAAGCGGCUCACUGGACCAUAACUGACGCUGAUGCACGAAAGCUAGGGGAGCAAACAGGAUUAGAGACCCCUGUAGUCCCUGUCUCUUAUAC